GGCAAGAAAGACUUACCAGUUUGAUUUUGCAUGAGAGGCUCAGAUCCAAGCUCGCUUUGCUUUGAACGUAUGUGAUUCAGGCACCCUUCAUGUUGUGCUUCUUCCUCCCCCUCCCCUCAUAUCUUCUUCAUAGGUCGAGAUGUAAUUAGCCGUACGUAGUAAAACACAAAGUGAAGGAUGAUUGUGCAUUUGGUUUGAAGGAAAGCAAAGCAAAGCAUAAACUCAUUCUUCUCAAUCAUUUGUGGAUCAUUUAUUUCUUGGCCGCUGCAUACAGUGAAAAAGGUAGUCUGUCUGGCUUCCGUAUAUCACUUUUAAGAAAAAGUUUCCUUUAUUUGAUCGCCAUAUAUAGUUUGAUUUUCAUCAAUAUGUUCACUUUAUUUUCUUUCGUGGAAAUUGUUAAAAUUUCACAACAGACAAAAAACAAAUUAAACAAAAUGUGACUUUCUUAACUGAUAUAAAAAAAA
Camellia sinensis is the source of this 464-nucleotide non-coding RNA. The record is from RefSeq and is a predicted model, not a curated record. Lineage: Eukaryota; Viridiplantae; Streptophyta; Magnoliopsida; Ericales; Theaceae.